UUAAUUGAAGAGUUUGAUCAUGGCUCAGAUUGAACGCUGGCGGCAGGCCUAACACAUGCAAGUCGAGCGGUAACAGGGGAAGCUUGCUUCUCGCUGACGAGCGGCGGACGGGUGAGUAAUGUAUGGGGAUCUGCCCGAUAGAGGGGGAUAACCACUGGAAACGGUGGC
This 168-nucleotide ribosomal RNA is filed under the name Providencia rettgeri. RNAcentral's name for it is "partial 16S ribosomal RNA". It matches the Rfam family "Bacterial small subunit ribosomal RNA", at positions 1 to 163 of the family's 1533-position model. Lineage: Bacteria; Pseudomonadati; Pseudomonadota; Gammaproteobacteria; Enterobacterales; Morganellaceae. The record is from RNAcentral.